RNAcentral lists this transfer RNA (90 nucleotides) under Malassezia furfur. RNAcentral's name for it is "tRNA-Pro". It matches the Rfam family "tRNA". Rfam says of the family: Transfer RNA (tRNA) molecules are approximately 80 nucleotides in length. Their secondary structure includes four short double-helical elements and three loops (D, anti-codon, and T loops). Lineage: Eukaryota; Fungi; Basidiomycota; Malasseziomycetes; Malasseziales; Malasseziaceae. The record is from RNAcentral.
GGGCGCAUGGUCUAGAGGUAUGAUUCUUCUUUAGGGCUGGAUUCGACCAGAACGUAGAAGAGGUCCUGGGUUCGAUUCCCAGUGCGCCCC